GUACGCAGUUUGAUAUUCCUUAUCACGCCGGACCUUCAAUACAGCGGUGGAGCUGCAGUAUGUUAUUUUAAGUUGACAUCCCACAUUUUAAAUGUACCAUAUCACCUUGAACUGCAAUGAUGUUCAACUGCAUAUCUUAACUGAGUAUAUAAACAGCAACACGUAAGGAGCGUAGGGCUAUUUCAUAUCUGCUGCCGUUGCUAGUGCAUCAUUGAAAUUUGCAGGAUAUUUCCCUGGUACCAUGUCGCCCAAAGUCGUAAUAUUAGCGUUCGCAAUUCUGGUAGCUACAUUCGUCCAUGGCCCGAGUGAAGCGUUUCUAUCCGCGACAAUACAGCCGUUGCCUAUAUGCUACUGGAUUUGUCAACCUAACCCUGUGGGUGACCCCCUAGUCUGUGACCGCUGCUUCUACCAAGUUGGGACAUGUGUGUCCUUCAACUUCCCGAAAUGCUAUGUUACUGGACGGAACUGUGCUAGAAGCAACUGGUACGCCAUCAAGUGCUGCCAUCAUCACCACUGUUAGCUAGAAAGAAACCCACUGUUAAGAAAGAAACAUUACCAACGUGUUCGAAAUUUCAUUAGAGGUCGCCACACAGUGGAGCCUUUUAAACUUUAUCGUGCAUUACAU
Molecule: long non-coding RNA, 625 nt
Organism: Lingula anatina
Lineage: Eukaryota; Metazoa; Brachiopoda; Lingulata; Lingulida; Lingulidae
Source: RefSeq, a predicted model, not a curated record